UCCCUGGUGGUCCAUUGGUUAGGACUCGGUACUUUUACUGCUGUGGCCUUGGUUCAAUUCCUGGUUGAAGAA
RNAcentral lists this transfer RNA (72 nucleotides) under Bos taurus (domestic cattle). It matches the Rfam family "tRNA". Rfam says of the family: Transfer RNA (tRNA) molecules are approximately 80 nucleotides in length. Their secondary structure includes four short double-helical elements and three loops (D, anti-codon, and T loops). The record is from Rfam by way of RNAcentral. Lineage: Eukaryota; Metazoa; Chordata; Mammalia; Artiodactyla; Bovidae. RNAcentral also lists the same sequence under 2 other names.